Molecule: long non-coding RNA, 2238 nt
Filed under: Anthonomus grandis grandis
Lineage: Eukaryota; Metazoa; Arthropoda; Insecta; Coleoptera; Curculionidae
Description: uncharacterized LOC126738216
Source: RNAcentral
GCACAGCCAGUGUGUAUAUGUUCACCUCGAGGUCGAAUUUGACCGCCGUAAUAAUAAAAACAAUAUCACGUACCGGUGAAAUUUUAUGAUAUAUCUGUGUUACCUUCUACUGUGAAUGUAUGGGCGAAAAAUUACUGCCGAAUUCAACAUAUUAGUUUGACCUCGUUUCCAGUGUUUGCUGCGAAAAAAUGCCAACGAACUAUAAAAGGAAAAACUCAAAUCGUGGAAAUUAUACUGAAGAAAAUCUCAGACGGGCAAUUAAAGAUGUCAGAAAUGGUUGUUCUGUCAAUGGCGCUUCAAAAAAACUAUGAAAUUCCUAGAAAAACCCUUGAAAGGAAAAUAAAAAAUAAUGUGUCCACAACUGGUAAAAUGGGACCGAAUAGCAUGUUGGGUGAGUCAAAUGAAAACAAAUUGAUUCAACAUAUUAAAAAAGCGCAAAAAUAUGGUUUUCCAAUGAGGAUACCCGAUGUACGAAAACUUGCGUACGAUUUCGCGGAGAGUCUACAGAUCAAUCAUAAGUUCAAUAAAGAAAAGGGAGCUGCCGGUUCUGAUUGGUUUAGGUCUUUUUUAAGAAGACACCCCGAUUUGUCCAUUCGCAAGGCAGAAGGUGUUUUCCUAGGGCGAGGUGAGGGCAUGAACCGUUUAGAUGUAGGAAAUUAUUUCAAACUUCUGCAAGAAAUACUGGAAGAAAAUAAUCUUUUCGAGAAACCUCGGUGCAUCUAUAACGUUGAUGAAACAGGCCUGCAACUUAAUAAUCGACCUGGCCAUGUUUUAGCCGAAAAAGCAGCAAAGGAUGUUGUUACAGUAACAUCGGGGGAAAAGGGUGAGACAAUCUCGUGCAUCGCAUGCUGUAAUGCAGAGGGUGUUUUUCUGCCACCAGUCUGCAUAUUUAAAGGCAAGAAUUUGAAGAGUGAGUGGACCGAUUCAGUGCCGCCUGGCUCACAUAUUGUCAUGUCUCAAAAAUCAGCCUAUGUUACUGCUAAAAUUUUUUUGGAUUGGUUCAAAAACCACUUCUUGCCUCGUAAAAGGAGAAGACAUUACUAAUUCUUGAUGGGCAUGCAUCUCAUUGUUCCUGUGUUGAACUUCUAGAAACAGCUGAGGCAAAUAAUGUCAUUUUGUUGUAUACCACUCAUUAUUUGCAACCUCUCGAUAGAGCUUUGUUUAAGUCUUUGAAGUCAUUCUACUAUCAAGCUUGUAGAGAAUGGAUGCACAGUCACCCGGGAAGGAAAUUAGGGCGUCUUCAAUUUGGUGAAGUUCUAAUGAAAAGCUGGGGAAAGUCAGCGACCGCUGGAAAUGCAAUGUACGGCUUCAGAGCCACUGGCAUAUUUCCAUUUAACCCCGAUUCCAUACCGGAUUAUGCAUACACAGUUUCUGAUCGAAUAAUAAACAGCGAAACCACAGGACGCCAGGAAACACUCACACAAGUAAUAAACAGUCAACAUUUCAUUUCUCAAGAAAAUAAGGCGGCAGAACCACAAGAAGUUAGACACCCAAUCAAUAUGAUGGAUGAUGCAGUGCCAUCCUGUAGCCGUGCUGACACAUCAGAACCUCCUCGAUGUACAACUCCAGUGGAAGGAACAACUCUUCCAGAUUUGCCACCUGGGAAACUUCUUGAUCAGAUUAAUCCCACACCCAAACUAGUUGUUUCUGCAAAAAAACGAGCAAAGAAGGUUGCUACCCUUUUAACCUCUCCUGAACAUAUUGCAACUGUGAGAGAGCGGUCCGCAAAAAGAAAAAUAAAAAACUCAACGACCCCACAAAAUAUAAAAUUCGAGGAAAGACGAAUGUUCAAAAGGGAAAACGCUCACCUUCACCUAGCUCUGAUGAUGAGGAGGACAUAGAAAUUCAGUAUGAAGAGGAAAGCGAUACCCUUUCCGAAGUGGAUGAUACGGCAGUGCGGGAUGCGGAGAAAGCUACAACAACACCCGAAAAAAGGAAGAUUGGUUGCAGUGCAUAAUAUGCCAAAAGUGGUUUCAUGAAAAUUGCGCUCAUUAUAUAAAUACUUGCCAAAAUUGUGGUCAAUCUGCGUUUCAAAAGAAGCAAAAUACUUGCUAAUGACUAUCUUUUUUAUUAAUCCUAUGAAUAAUAUGUUAAUUUCAGAUGUUUUUUUAUUUAUUUUUUUUUUAGACGGUGGCCGUCUCUUCCUCACUGCAUUGGCCAACUCUCCCCAUCAAACAGGGAGAGAUGGCCACAUGUAGCUUUUUUCUAUACUAAUAAUAAUAAAAAAAAAUAAAAGUA